Molecule: RNA transcript, 1399 nt
Organism: Brassica napus (rape)
Lineage: Eukaryota; Viridiplantae; Streptophyta; Magnoliopsida; Brassicales; Brassicaceae
Gene name: stomatin-like protein 2, mitochondrial
Exons: 10
Source: RefSeq, a predicted model, not a curated record
UGUAUGUAUAGCCUGUAGAAGAAAAAGAAAAAGAGAUUUCAAAAUCAAAAUAAAAAGAUUUAAGAGAGUUUUAGUUUGUCGAGCUUCUUCCCCUUCCCAGAGUUAGUUACACAAAGAUGAUGAUCCGUUCAAGAAGCGCAGCUACAACCGCCGUUAGAUCCUUGGGCUACCUCCGCCACUCUUCCGCACUCGUUCACUCUCCACUCCUCUCCGGCGCCACCGCCACCCCCGUCCGCCACUUCACCUCUCCCGGCAACAGCUACCAAAUCAAGCCGCCGGUGAACUGGGGAAUCCGAAUCGUCCCGGAGAAGAGAGCGUGCGUGAUUGAGCGGUUCGGCAAAUACGUCAAGACUCUGGAGUCAGGGAUCCACUUCCUCGUCCCCGGCGUGGACCGUAUCGCGUAUGUGCAUUCGCUCAAGGAGGAAGCGAUUCCGAUUGGGAACCAGACUGCGAUUACGAAGGAUAACGUCAGCAUCCACAUCGAUGGUGUUCUUUACGUCAAGAUUGUGAAUCCGCAUCUGGCGUCUUACGGCGUUGAGAAUCCGAUCUACGCUGUUAUGCAGUUGGCUCAGACCACUAUGCGGAGUGAACUUGGGAAGAUUACUCUUGACAAGACUUUUGAGGAACGAGAUGCGUUGAAUGUCAAGAUUGUGGAAGCCAUCAAUGUUGCUGCUAAAGAUUGGGGUCUUGAGUGCCUUCGUUAUGAGAUAAGGGAUAUCAUGCCUCCUAAUGGAGUGAGGGUUGCUAUGGAAAUGCAAGCUGAAGCUGAACGUAAAAAGAGAGCCCAGAUUCUCGAGUCUGAAGGAGAACGCCAAGCCCAUAUCAACAUAGCUGAUGGUAAGAAGAGUUCUGUAAUCUUGGAAUCAGAAGCUGCAAAGAUGGACCAAGUCAAUCGAGCAUCAGGCGAGGCAGAAGCAAUAUUAGCUAGAGCACAAGCAACAGCGAGGGGGUUGACCAUGUUAUCUCAAUCCCUCAAGGAAACUGGUGGAGUGGAGGCUGCGAGUUUGAGAGUUGCUGAGCAAUACAUUCAAGCUUUUGGGAACAUCGCCAAGGAGGGUACAACGAUGCUGCUUCCGAGUUCAGCUGCAAAUCCUGCAAACAUGAUCGCUCAAGCCUUGACAAUGUACAAAAGCCUCGUCCCCAACGGUGGUAUCCAAGAAACUUCAGCUGUGGAAUCCUCGUCUAAAGCGAAAUAGAAGUGGUGGUGGUGGUAGAAGAGCUAGGAACAAUGAUAAUUCUUUUGAUCUAUAAUCGAUGUAACAAUAUCCCUUUGUCGUUUGAUUGCUAUGGUGGAGUGACUAACUCUUGUGACAAGGAUAAGAAACUGUUCCUAGAGGAAGAACGGCGUAGGUCGUUGACAGACAAGAGCCUCGAAGAAUCUAAUGGUGACAUGAACAUU